UUGGAGGGCAAGUCUGGUGCCCGCAGCCGCGGUAAUUCCAGCUCCAAUAGCGUAUAUUAAAGUUGUUGCAGUUAAAAAGCUCGUAGUUGAAUUUUGGGUUUGGCCGAUUGGUCCGUUCUUGUAACGAGUACUGGUCGGUUGGGCCUCACCGCUUGGUGAUGCGUAAUGUCCUUUAUUGGGUGUUGCGAGUAGUCAAGACUUUUACCUUGAAAAAAUUAGAGUGUUUAAAGCAGGCAUAUGCCAGAAUACAUUAGCAUGGAAUAAUAAAAUAGGACGAUAAUUCUAUUUUGUUGGUUUCUAGGAUGAUCGUAAUGAUUAAUAGGGAUAGUUGGGGGCAUUAGUAUUCAAUUGUCAGAGGUGAAAUUCUUGGAUUUAUUGAAGACUAACUACUGCGAAAGCAUUUGCCAAGGAUGUUUUCAUUAAUCAAGAACGAAAGUUAGGGGAUCGAAGACGAUCAGAUACCGUCGUAGUCUUAACCAUAAACUAUGCCGACUAGGGAUCGGACGAUGUUAAUUUUUUAAUGACUCG
Molecule: ribosomal RNA, 528 nt
Filed under: uncultured Glomeromycotina
Lineage: Eukaryota; Fungi; Glomeromycota
Description: bacterial SSU rRNA
Rfam family: Eukaryotic small subunit ribosomal RNA
Source: RNAcentral